GGCAUUCGCGCGGGAGAGCCCUCCGCCGCUGGCGGGGGCACCGAAGGAGCAACCGCCCCGGAAACUCUCAGGUAGAACGGACCGCGCGACUGGC
The sequence is a regulatory RNA element, 94 nucleotides long. It matches the Rfam family "Glycine riboswitch aptamer". From Rfam's summary of the family: This family represents the bacterial glycine riboswitch. Glycine riboswitches usually consist of two metabolite-binding aptamers domains with similar structures in tandem. The record is from Rfam.